AUUGGUGACCACAGCUGGCGGCGUGGAGGAAGACCUCAUCAAGUGCCUGGCGCCCACAUACUUGGGCGAGUUUAGCCUCAGGGGGAAGGAGCUCCGGGAGAACGGGAUCAAUAGGAUCGGAAACCUGCUGGUGCCCAAUGACAAUUACUGCAAGUUUGAGGACUGGCUGAUGCCCAUUCUGGACCAGAUGGUGAUGGAGCAGAACACAGAGGUGGGGCUGGGGCAACCUGGAGCGGCCAGUCCAGUGGGAGUCAGGGGAGGCAUGGCCUGAAGCUCACAUCCUCUCCUAGGGUGUAAAGUGGACGCCUUCUAAGAUGAUCGCCCGGCUGGGCAAGGAGAUCAACAACCCAGAGUCCGUGUAUUACUGGGCCCAGAAGUCCCGCACUUACAGACGGCUCGCUGGGCGACAUGAUCUUCUUCCAUUCCUACAAGAACCCGGGCCUGGUCCUGGACAUCGUUGAGGGUGAGGCGCUAGGGCCACAGAGGAGAGGGGAAGGAGGGCUGGCUGAGUCCAAGGCCUGACUUCGGCCCUCUUCCCCCAGACCUGAGGCUCAUCAACACACAGGCCAUCUUUGCCAAGUGCACUGGGAUGAUCAUUCUGGGCGGGGGCGUGGUCAAGCACCACAUUGCCAAUGCCAACCUCAUGGUGAGUGGGGGUGGCGCU
This 664-nucleotide small RNA is filed under the name Pan troglodytes (chimpanzee). RNAcentral's name for it is "retained intron". Lineage: Eukaryota; Metazoa; Chordata; Mammalia; Primates; Hominidae. The record is from RNAcentral.